UAUUGAUGGAGCACUUGAAGAUGGGUCAUUUGGGCGACUGGGAAACGAUGAGCACAAGGCACCAAAUUGCAGAAUAAAGUUGAUUGAAGCAGGGUAGCCACAUCUCUGCCUUUUUGCACUGAAGGAAAUUACGGCAGGAACUGAAAUCACUUGACUAUGGUGGGAAAGAAUGGCCCUGGCAUAAAGAGAAGGCGUACCGGAAAUGGACGAAGACGACGUCAGCGGUCACGUGGAUGGAGACGACGACGUUACGUCAGAAGGAGGAGACACUGGAACCGAUACUCAUACAUGCGACAUCGAGGCAUAAAACAUGAGCACCUCACCUGGAACACAUCUAACGGUUUAUCAACUGGACUCACUUUCAUCCUAAGCGACGUUCAAUACCCUAAAGGAUACUGGGACUACUAUAAAAUCAGAAAAGUUGUUGUUCAAAUAUGGCCGGAAUUCAACAACGUCCCCAUCAACAGAGAAUACAACAAAGUACUGUACGGGACUACAUUCAUCGACCAUGAUGACGCCUCCAUCAGUACAGCUUCAACCCACCCUUUCAAAGAUUACUCUUCCAGAAAAAUGUUCAUAAGCAACAGGCCUCACAUAAGAAUUUUCACACCCAGGCCUAAUAUUGAAAUUUACAAAUCUGCCUCUACAUCAAACUAUGGCUUCCUGAAUGUUAACUCUGGUGCAUGGAUAAAUGAGAUUCAUGAUUCUGUACCCCACUACGGCUUGAAAAUAUGGCUGCCACCUAGCGCUAGCCUUACAGGCACCAUCUCAUACAAGCUGAUCAUCAAGUACUAUGUGUUAUUCAGAAACUGUAUAUAA
Long non-coding RNA from Cyprinus carpio carpio, 819 nucleotides. The record is from Ensembl. Lineage: Eukaryota; Metazoa; Chordata; Actinopteri; Cypriniformes; Cyprinidae.